This 305-nucleotide ribosomal RNA is filed under the name uncultured bacterium. RNAcentral's name for it is "bacterial SSU rRNA". It matches the Rfam family "Bacterial small subunit ribosomal RNA", at positions 210 to 507 of the family's 1533-position model. The record is from RNAcentral.
CCGUUGCGCUAUUGGAUGAGCCUAUGUCGGAUUAGUUAGUUGGUGGGGUAAAGGCCUACCAAGGCGACGAUCCGUAGCUGGUCUUAGAGGAUGAUCAGCCACAUCGGGACUGAGACACGGCCCGAACUCCUACGGGAGGCAGCAGUGGGGAAUAUUGCACAAUGGGCGCAAGCCUGAUGCAGCUAUGCCGCGUGUGUGAAGAAGGCCUUAGGGUUGUAAAGCACUUUCAGUAGUGAGGAAAAGUGUUGCGUUAAUAGCGCAAUGCUGUGACGUUAGCUACAGAAGAAGGACCGGCAAACUCCGUG